Molecule: long non-coding RNA, 672 nt
Filed under: Androctonus crassicauda
Lineage: Eukaryota; Metazoa; Arthropoda; Arachnida; Scorpiones; Buthidae
Source: RNAcentral
GUUGAACUUUGAGACUUACUUGUGUGGGGAGAUGCCGUUGGAGUGGAUGGCUAUGGUCCCAAUGGAGGAUGAGUUUUUCUAUCUCGUUUGCAUACGAUCUGGUGGAGGAAGUUCAUAUGGUAGUGUUUGUGCUGGAAUUUUAAUCAGAUUUAGAGGAAAAAAGAAAAAAGUUUAUAUAAUAAUUUAUUUGAAAGAACUUUUGGAAUUGCGUUAAUCGCUGUGAAGAUAUGUAAAUUAGUGUCUGUUAAAAGAAUAACCAGGAGGUGGAGUCGGUGUCUCGCCUUGUUUGUCGUCAUUAACUGGUGUAGUAGUGGAUGUGUUCGUCGGAAUAAUAACUUUAUGUGGUGGCCAUUUGUGGUUGUGUAUUGGUCUGUUGGAAGUAGCUGUGAUUUAAAACUUGAUUAUUUGCUAUUACUAGGCGAGAUUGAUGCGAUUAAGUUGUAAGUUUUCUGGUUAUCAUUUAAUAAAGUUUACUUUUGAUGUUUUUUUCUUUAAUAGAAGUUUGUUAUUUAAUAUGGAACACUGGUCGGAACGUAUUAUGCGAUGGCUUGAGGCCAAUGAAAUAGACGUUCAAAUUAAAAUAAGUAUGAGACGAAAGGAUGGAAGAGUUUCAGCACGGGGUCGGACUUAUCGUGAAAACUUGGGAAGUGCCCCGGUUUUCACAAAUUGCCU